ACGCUAGCUACAGGCUUAACACAUGCAAGUCGAGGGGCAGCAUGUUGGUUGCUUGCAACCAAUGAUGGCGACCGGCGCACGGGUGAGUAACGCGUAUCCAACCUACCCAAUACUCAGGCAUAACCCGUUGAAAGACGGACUAAUUCCUGAUGGUAUGUAUCUUUCUCAUGAUUUAUACAUUAAAGAAUUUCGGUAUUGGAUGGGGAUGCGUCUGAUUAGUUUGUUGGUGAGGUAACGGCUCACCAAGACUUCGAUCAGUAGGGGUUCUGAGAGGAAGGUCCCCCACAUUGGAACUGAGACACGGUCCAAACUCCUACGGGAGGCAGCAGUGAGGAAUAUUGGUCAAUGGAUGGAAAUCUGAACCAGCCAAGUAGCGUGCAGGAUGACGGCCCUAUGGGUUGUAAACUGCUUUUAUGUGAGAAUAAAGUUAGGUAUGUAUACUUAUUUGCAUGUAUCACAUGAAUAAGGACCGGCUAAUUCCGUGCCAGCAGCCGCGGUAAUACGGAAGGUCCAGGCGUUAUCCGGAUUUAUUGGGUUUAAAGGGUGCGUAGGCCGUUUGAUAAGCGUGCUGUGAAAUAUAGUGGCUCAACCUCUAUCGUGCAGCGCGAACUGUUGAACUUGAGUGCGUAGUAGGUAGGCGGAAUUCGUGGUGUAGCGGUGAAAUGCUUAGAUAUCACGAAGAACUCCGAUUGCGAAGGCAGCUUACCGUAACGUUACUGACGCUUAAGCACGAAGGUGCGGGUAUCGAACAGGAUUAGAUACCCUGGUAGUCCGCACAGUAAACGAUGGAUGCUCGCUGUUGGCCUUUAAUGGUCAGUGGCUUAGCGAAAGCGUUAAGCAUCCCACCUGGGGAGUACGCCGGCAACGGUGAAACUCAAAGGAAUUGACGGGGGCCCGCACAAGCGGAGG
RNAcentral lists this ribosomal RNA (909 nucleotides) under uncultured bacterium. Its description in RNAcentral is "bacterial SSU rRNA". It matches the Rfam family "Bacterial small subunit ribosomal RNA", at positions 33 to 935 of the family's 1533-position model. The record is from RNAcentral.